This 253-nucleotide ribosomal RNA is filed under the name uncultured bacterium. RNAcentral describes it as "partial 16S ribosomal RNA". It matches the Rfam family "Bacterial small subunit ribosomal RNA", at positions 524 to 776 of the family's 1533-position model. The record is from RNAcentral.
UACGUAGGUGGCAAGCGUUGUCCGGAUUUACUGGGCGUAAAGAGCGCGCAGGCGGUCGGUCAAGUCGAGUGUGAAAGCCCCUGGCUCAACUGGGGAGGGUCACUCGAUACUGAUCGACUCGAAGGCAGGAGAGGGAAGUGGAAUUCCCGGUGUAGUGGUGAAAUGCGUAGAUAUCGGGAGGAACACCAGUGGCGAAGGCGACUUCCUGGCCUGUUCUUGACGCUGAGGCGCGAAAGCUAGGGGAGCAAACGGG